AUUGAACGCUGGCGGCAGGCCUAACACAUGCAAGUCGAGCGGAUGAAGGGAGCUUGCUCCUGGAUUCAGCGGCGGACGGGUGAGUAAUGCCUAGGAAUCUGCCUGGUAGUGGGGGAUAACGUCCGGAAACGGGCGCUAAUACCGCAUACGUCCUGAGGGAGAAAGUGGGGGAUCUUCGGACCUCACGCUAUCAGAUGAGCCUAGGUCGGAUUAGCUAGUUGGUGGGGUAAAGGCCUACCAAGGCGACGAUCCGUAACUGGUCUGAGAGGAUGAUCAGUCACACUGGAACUGAGAAACGGUCCAGACUCCUACGGGAGGCAGCAGUGGGGAAUAUUGGACAAUGGGCGAAAGCCUGAUCCAGCCAUGCCGGGUGUGUGAAGAAGGUCUUCGGAUUGUAAAGCACUUUAAGUUGGGAGGAAGGGCAGUAAGUUAAUACCUUGCUGUUUUGACGGUACCAACAGAAUAAGCACCGGCUAACUUCGUGC
Molecule: ribosomal RNA, 485 nt
Filed under: uncultured bacterium
Lineage: Bacteria
Description: partial 16S ribosomal RNA
Rfam family: Bacterial small subunit ribosomal RNA
Source: RNAcentral